RNAcentral lists this ribosomal RNA (253 nucleotides) under uncultured bacterium. RNAcentral describes it as "partial 16S ribosomal RNA". It matches the Rfam family "Bacterial small subunit ribosomal RNA", at positions 524 to 776 of the family's 1533-position model. The record is from RNAcentral.
GACAGAGGGGGCGGGCGUUGUCCGGAGUCACUGGGGGUAAAGCGCGCGCAGGCGGCAUCCUUAGUGUCGUGUGAAAGCCCCCGGCUCAACCGGGGGAGGCCAUGGCAAACUGGGUCGCUCGAGCUGCGGAGAGGCCCCUCGAAUUGCCGGUGUAGCGGUGAAAUGCGUAGAGAUCGGCAGGAAUACCAAGGGGGAAGCCAGGGGGCUGGCCGAAGGCUGACGCUGAGGCGCGACAGCGUGGGGAGCAAACCGU